GGGUAACGGGCCUACCAAGGCGACGAUCAGUAGCCGGCCUGAGAGGGUGUACGGCCACAUUGGGACUGAGACACGGCCCAAACUCCUACGGAAGGCAGCAG
This 101-nucleotide ribosomal RNA is filed under the name uncultured bacterium. Its description in RNAcentral is "partial 16S ribosomal RNA". It matches the Rfam family "Bacterial small subunit ribosomal RNA", at positions 255 to 354 of the family's 1533-position model. The record is from RNAcentral.